AGUCCUGUGGUGUAAUAAAACUCGUUGAAUUGCAAAUUCGAAGAAGCAGAGUAGAAUCUGCCGGGGCUU
RNAcentral lists this transfer RNA (69 nucleotides) under Petitella bleheri (rummy-nose tetra). Its description in RNAcentral is "tRNA-Cys". It matches the Rfam family "tRNA". From Rfam's summary of the family: Transfer RNA (tRNA) molecules are approximately 80 nucleotides in length. Their secondary structure includes four short double-helical elements and three loops (D, anti-codon, and T loops). Lineage: Eukaryota; Metazoa; Chordata; Actinopteri; Characiformes; Acestrorhamphidae. The record is from RNAcentral.